AACGAACGCUGGCGGCAUGCCUAACACAUGCAAGUCGAACGAGACCUUCGGGUCUAGUGGCGCACGGGUGCGUAACGCGUGGGAACCUGCCCUUAGGUUCGGAAUAACUCCCCGAAAGGGGUGCUAAUACCGGAUAAUUUCUUCGGACCAAAGAUUUAUCGCCUUUGGAUGGGCCCGCGUUGGAUUAGCUAGUUGGUAGGGUAAAAGCCUACCAAGGCGACGAUCCAUAGCUGGUCUGAGAGGAUGAUCAGCCACACUGGGACUGAGACACGGCCCAGACUCCUACGGGAGGCAGCAGUGGGGAAUAUUGGACAAUGGGAGAAAGCCUGAUCCAGCAAUGCCGCGUGAGUGAUGAAGGCCUUAGGGUUGUAAAGCUCUUUUACCCGGGAUGAUAAUGACAGUACCGGGAGAAUAAGCUCCGGCUAACUCCGUG
This 433-nucleotide ribosomal RNA is filed under the name uncultured bacterium. Its description in RNAcentral is "partial 16S ribosomal RNA". It matches the Rfam family "Bacterial small subunit ribosomal RNA", at positions 29 to 507 of the family's 1533-position model. The record is from RNAcentral.